RNAcentral lists this ribosomal RNA (253 nucleotides) under uncultured bacterium. RNAcentral describes it as "partial 16S ribosomal RNA". It matches the Rfam family "Bacterial small subunit ribosomal RNA", at positions 524 to 776 of the family's 1533-position model. The record is from RNAcentral.
UACGUAGGGUGCGAGCGUUAAUCGGAAUUACUGGGCGUAAAGCGUGCGUAGGCGGUUUCAUAGGCUUGAUGUGAAAGCCCCGGGCUCAACCUGGGAAUGGCAUUGAGGACUGUGGAGCUAGAGUGCGGCAGAGGGAGGUGGAAUUCCACGUGUAGCAGUGAAAUGCGUAGAGAUGCGGAGGAACACCGAUGGCGAAGGCAGCCCCCUGGGUCGACACUGACGCUCAGGCACGAAAGCGUGGGGAGCAAACAGG